This 540-nucleotide ribosomal RNA is filed under the name Septobasidium kameii. Its description in RNAcentral is "eukaryotic LSU rRNA". The stretch from base 131 to 284 matches the Rfam family "5.8S ribosomal RNA". Lineage: Eukaryota; Fungi; Basidiomycota; Pucciniomycetes; Septobasidiales; Septobasidiaceae. The record is from RNAcentral.
AUCUAUUGGAUGACAUAAGAGCGCACUUCAUUGUGGCUCGACCUUCAUAUCCAUUCACACUGUGCACUGUAAUACCUUUUUAUUAGACCCUACAAGUCAAAGAAUGUACUACUUUGUAUAAAGUAAACAAAACUUUCAACAACGGAUCUCUUGGUUCUCGCAUCGAUGAAGAACGCAGCGAAAUGCGAUAAGUAAUGUGAAUUGCAGAUUUCAGUGAAUCAUCGAAUCUUUGAACGCACCUUGCACCUCUUGGUAUUCCGAGAGGUACAUCUGUUUGAGUGUCAUGAAUACCUCAACCUCUCCACUUUCUUGUAAAGUGCGGAAGCGUUGGAUGCUGAGCGUUGCUGUCCAACACAGCUCGCUUCAAAUGUAUAAGCAAUCUUUGUACUGCUCGGAUUGACUUGACGUGAUAAGAUCUUCGUCAGGGAUGCUUUACAGCAGCCGGAUUGUACAUGAGUCGCUACCAACCCUGCAUUCGUGCAACCUCUUGAUUUUAGACCUCAAAUCAGAUGGGACUACCCGCUGAACUUAAGCAUAUCA